UUCAUCCCGCAACGCACCGGCUCCAAGAGACACAAUUUCUCAAACCCUGUCUUCACAAAUAUCUUCCCAUAUACUGUCCCUUUGUGGUCUGGUUAUGGUUGUGGUUACCCCGCGGUUCAGUUGAUGGCCUUCCGUAUGUCCCCCCGGAUAGAUAAACGACCUCAUGAGCGGUGCCCUGGCACCUAUGGCACCUCCGGCCAUGGGCAGUUCAGGGCGUCCCGCUGGCCGCACGGUGGAUUGCAGGACAGGGUCACCUCUCGGAGGACCGGCUUCUGGACACCCAAUUCGCUUGGCGCUCAGGUACAACAUCUAAUUGGGGAGUGGCU
This 326-nucleotide unclassified non-coding RNA is filed under the name Salvelinus fontinalis (brook trout). RNAcentral's name for it is "5' external transcribed spacer". Lineage: Eukaryota; Metazoa; Chordata; Actinopteri; Salmoniformes; Salmonidae. The record is from RNAcentral.